Molecule: ribosomal RNA, 411 nt
Filed under: uncultured bacterium
Lineage: Bacteria
Description: bacterial SSU rRNA
Rfam family: Bacterial small subunit ribosomal RNA
Source: RNAcentral
AAGUAAGCAAGGGAAACAUUUAUGGCUUUGGGAUGAGACUGUACGGUAUCAGCUUGUUGGUGAGGUAAUGGCUUACCAAGGCAAUGACGGGUAGCUGGUCUUAGAGGACGAUCAGCCACACUGGAACUGAGACACGGUCCAGACUCCUACGGGAGGCAGCAGUGGGGAAUAUUGCACAAUGGGGGAAACCCUGAUGCAGCAACGCCGCGUGGAGGAUGACGCAUUUCGGUGUGUAAACUCCUUUUAUCAAGGAAGAAAUUUGACGGUACUUGAUGAAUAAGCACCGGCUAACUCCGUGCCAGCAGCCGCGGUAAUACGGAGGGUGCAAGCGUUACUCGGAAUUACUGGGCGUAAAGGACGCGUAGGCGGUUUAGAAAGUCAGAUGUGAAAGCCUAUGGCUUAACCAUAGAA